GGCGCCCCAAGAGAGGCGUUUUUAUUUUUGUUUGUUUCUUUAAGAUAAAAGAAAUAACAGGAUGUCAGUAUGCCGAUGGGAUGAUCUGGUAGAGAGGAAAAGUGGAUGCAGGAGAGACAGAAACAUUUUGGAUUGAUGUUCUUUGGUAGGUGAGAGGUAAGGGAUCUAGGGGCCAGGGCAUGGUGGAGGGGUUGGCCUUGAUAGGGGCAUUUCACUCCCAGGGGAGGAGAUCGAGUGCGUGGGCAGAGACCAAGGCGGGUGAGACGUGCUCGUCAGAGCCCGUGGAUGUUCUCGUCUGGGUAUUGAGGUGUUGUAAUCAGCACAUGCGAGGAUAAGACCCCACUCAUGUCCCUGUAUCUUUGCGAGAAAGUGCCAAGUACAGCCACAGAACUGCUAGAAACUUGAAUGCCUUUAAGGACCCUGUGGUCCGCUUACCAUAUUCAUCUAUCCUUUAAAGCCGGCCCUGGCUUUGAAGCAAAGGUUGCCUUGGUGGUGGUCAUUGGACCAAGCAUUCCAUGUGUUCUCCAAGGUUCCAUGCAGCAGGUGGCAGCCAGCAGCCCCAGUAUGCAGGUGGAGCGCAGCCUGUGCUGUCUUCUGUUAUUUGCUGACGGGCCUCCUUGCUUGAACACACGUCUCGUUAAUGUGGGAUUAUUCCUUUCCGAAUUAGGGCUGGAAGCCCAUGGCUUUACCUAAAGCAGAAGAACUUGUUAUUUUACACUUCUGUUUGGGACUCAGUUAAUUUAGUCUGAGAUAGGGUGAUUGGGUCUUGGACUCAGAUGAGGUUCACCUGAUGAACAGGAGGCAUCUUCUAAGCACCAAGUAGCUAACAGGCCUGCAGAUGUGUGAUGGGUCACCGCAGGCGGUGACUUAGGUGAGGUUGUGGAACGCCAGGAACGCGGGAGCUGCCGUAGGACUCCAGGAUACCGAGAGGCCAAGCCAGAUGGCAGAGAAUAGCAAGAGCUGACCCUCAGAGUCACGCUGGCCCGGCCUCCAGUCGAGACGGCGCUGCUUUCCAGAUAAUGUGACCUGGGUCACAUUCCCUAACAUCUGAGUCUGUUUCCUCACAAGUACAAGCAGGAAUAGGAAAAGCUAUCUCAGCAACGUACAUCGGGUGCCUGGCUGGCGGCUCCCUCCCCCAGCCGCCCACCAUUUUAGGCUGUACCACCACCUGCUCCUCUAUUAAAAGUGAAGAAAUAAAUACAAAGGCCUCAAGAAAAGGAUCCUAGCAACAAUUGAUACACAGCUGAUUGGACUUGUUCAUGUUAUUCUCUUGAGUGGCAAAUACAGUUCUAUGUUUCAGAAUUCACAAUGUAGAAAGAAACGCACGGCAACCAUCCUUUCCCCCAUCUUUGUUCCCUGUCAUCCACUUCCCUGCCUCUCAAGCAGUCAGUGUCACCAGUCUCUUGUGUAUCCUCCCAGAGACACAGUUUCCUCCUUGUUUUAAACACAAGUAGCAAAUCGCAAACGGUUUUCCCUUCCUUUUUUCCUUUAUUGGUAUAUUUUGGUGAUCAUUCCAUAUGUGUGUGUUAGGAGCUUCUCCAGCCCUCCUUAUGCUUUCAUCAUGUCCCACUGUGUGGACAUAACCAUGGAACGUAACCAGCUCCCUGUAGACGGGUAUGUUUUCUAUCUGUGGUUUACAGACGUCGUUACAGUGAAUUAAAUGACUGGUAUUUUAAAUUAUUCUUUUAUCUAUCAAGGGCAGCAAUGCUUUUAAGGACUGUUUCUAGGUGGUUACUUUGUUUAACCGGUUCCGGUUUCUCCAUGUACUUGAACAUAAAGGGACUAUUCAUUUUAAAUGAGUGUGUAAGAGAGAUUUUUUUUUUCCUUGUAUAUUUGAACUAGCUGCCUUCCACAGACAAUACCUGUGUCUCAACUCUUGCUCUUUUAUGAACAAUGUACCAUUCAUUUGCUCAACAAGUAUUUAUUUAGUACCUGUAUGUGCCAGAUACAUUCUGGGUGCUUGGGAUACCUCAGUGAACAGACCAAACGAAACAUCUGCCUUUUGGAAGCCUUUGUGUUGGCCAGGGGGGAAACACAAUGAAUGUAAUGUAUAAAUGAAUCAUUUACAGUAUAUUAAAGAUGCGGAUGCUAUUGUUGGGGCAAGGGGACCAAGGAGGGGGAAGAUCCAGGGUGAAAGAUGGAAGUUUCAGUUUUAAAUAGGGUGAUCAGGGUAGACAUCACUGAGGAGACAUUUGACAAGAGACUUGCAGGGAGUGAGCAAGUGAGCCAUGUGGAUAUCUGGGGAAGAGCGUUCUGGAAAGGGAGCUGCCAGUGCAGAGGCCCUAAGGAACAACACAGAGGUGAGUGAGUAGGGUUGUGGCUGAGGGAGGCAGUGGGAGGGAGGCUGAGGUCAGGUCAGGUAGGACCCUGCAGUCAGCUUUCAGAACUGGCUUUUAAUUGGGUGAGAUGGGAGUCAUGGGAGGGUGUGGAACGGAAGAGGGACAUACCGGAACUUCCUCAAGGAUCUCAGACUGUGGGGGAGGUCAGUUAGGAAGUUGCUGCAGUAGUCUUGAUGAGAGCUACUGGGGGUCCAACAGGGCAGCUGCAGUAGAGACAGUGGAAGUGGUCAGAUUCUACCCGUAUUUUGAAGGGUAAGGCCAAGAAAUGACCCUAACAGAUUUGAAUGUGGGAGUCUGAGAAAGAAAAGCAAGGAUGACUGUGGAGUUCGGGCUUGAAGAACUGGAAGGACGGAGUCACCUCGGGAAGGGCUGGAGCCCCGUUUCUGGCACAGAAGUCUGAGGUGCCUCCUCGAGGCCAGGUAGAGAUGUUGAGCGAGCAGGUGGCUGUGCGAGCCUGGGAGUCAGCAGAGAGGUGAGGGCAGAGAGGCGCAUGCGGCAGUGGUCGGGGUAGAAAAAUGGCGUUGGAAACUGUGAGGCACUGCAGUCACCCGGGGGUGUGGGGGGCUCACCAGAGCUUACACGCUGUGGCCUUCGCAGGCUCGGGGAGCUCCUGACAGACUCUUCUGCUCCCACCUUUUUCAAGUAAAUCUCAGUGAGUUUGGUACUUUACCUUUAUCUACUCCUAUCCCUUCCUGUCUCAAGGCUGCCUGUCCCUGAAGGAGGCAAGAAAGUGGCAUUUCCAGCUCUACUUGGGAGAAGAGAAGCUGUUGUCCCAUGACUCGGGACCCACAUCCUGGCCUUGUGAGACAAGUGAGCCGAACGGAGGGAGCCUAGUGCCCUCCAGCAGAGGUCCCAGGGCUGGCUUUUCUGCGCCCCUGACUGUCCCUCCCAUCCUUAUUAUCUCAGGAAACACUUAAGGCAUGGUUGAAGUGAACUUGCAGCCACUUUUAAGACAGGGCGUUUCCGGUAGAGAAAGGACAGCAGGGAAGUAGGGGGUGAGUUACUGAACCAAGCUAUUAACUUCAGAAAGAUUGGGCGCCAAAUAUCCCAGGCAGGUCUGGUCAUGGUCACACUUUGGGUCUGGCAUGAGCUAGGUUGUCCUGGGGGCAGGCACUCCCUUUCAAGAGACCCUCCAGAAGGUCUACAACGGCUCUAGGUCACUUUGUAGUCCCACUGGAUCGGGUGUGGGAGAGGGAAAGCACAGGGACCCUGGAUGGAACUGGGUUUUGGGGGAGAGCAGAAUUGGUGGGGCAGGGAGGGGUGGGCAGCGGAACCUAGAAGUAAGCCAGUUUCUUCAGGCUCACUGAGCCUAAGACUGGAGUCCCUGUCCUCAGCCUGCUGUGCCUUGUGAGGGAACCUGCUGUUCAUGUCAUCCAGUCACAGCGUCCUCUGCCCUGCUGUCUUUUGACAACAAUCUCCUGGUUGAGGUCAGGUCCUCUUUUGUCUCAAUUACAGAACCGGAAUCUCAGUGACAGGAGCCUUGGCCCGUCACCAGGGGGCGCAGCCCAACCGGCUUCUUCUGGUCACUUCUAGUCCCUCAGGCCUGAGCUUCUAGGUCAAGUCCUCAGUGUGAUUUUUCUCCCCAUUCCCCUGCAGCUUGUGCUCAUUUUAAAGAACUUGGAAAAUAGAAGAGAGCAUAAAUAAGGAAAGGAGACUCAAUCACCCAUAUUCCCAGAACCGGUUUAUAAUGUUUCAACCUACUUUCAAUAUGUCUACACAUAUUAUGAUUAAAAAAUGUUUUAAUUGAAAUCAUGUUGAAUAUAUUGUAAACCUAUAAACUUUUCUCCCAAAUCACUUUCCUCAAAGCAAACAGUGAAAGAGCUGACCCACAGGUCACAGAUGGGGAUUAUCGUUGACGUUCCCGUGUUGGCGCCUGCGUGUUGUCUUUGCCUUGGCAGGAACCCUCAGGGCUCAAGAAAUGUUUGGCCUCUGCUGCAGUGUGAUCGUUGGUACCUGUUGCAGGUACCAGAUUUUUGAGAAUCUGGAGGAAAGUGAUUUGAUUUGCAUUCAGUUUGGUCCAGGAGAUGCCCUGUGCACAUGAUUUGUUCUGGCCCUGCAGAUGUCCUGCAAAGCAUCUCGGGUCACUUCUCUUUCUUUAUCUCCACACAGGCCGGGUUUCCUCCUUGAGCAUCCAGAUGUUUGCCUCUGACUCCCUGCCCCUGCCAGGCCUCUGUUCUAACUCAUGUCCUUGCCUUCUUGAGAGGUUCAGAGUUUUGUUUUCUGUGCUGCCCUGUGUCCAAGCUGUUGGUCUCCUCUUCCUUUGCUAGCCGGCCCCUGCCUGGGCCUCAUUUCUCCAGGGCAGAGAUAGGUACACUAGAAAGAAAGUGGUCCCUGGGCUUCUAAUUUCUUGACGAAAGGGAUGCUAAUAGUAGUUCUUAUUAUGGGCAUGAUCUCUUUCCUUAUGCCAUUGGUAUUUUGCUUUAUUUCGGCUUUUGCUCAAAGGAUGAUUCUGGAGCCGAGAAGGAGAACACCUCUGUCCUGCAGCAGAACCCCUCCUUGUCGGGCAGCCGGAAUGGGGAGGAGAACGUCAUCGAUAACCCCUAUCUGCGGCCUGUGAAGAAACCCAAGAUUCGCAGGAAGAAGUCGCUCUCGUGAGCUGAGAAGGAAGCCUGCCUUGUACAGAGACGCGGACACCACUCUCCUGGGGCAGUUAAAGCCACUGGAGGGAAGAAGAGAGGGUGGCCUCCUCAAGGUCAAGCCAAGGCAGCCGGUGUGACUGGGCAUGAUUUUAAUAGCAAACUCAAAUAUUAAGACCACCUAUUUUCACUGGAUAUUUGGGUGGAGGAAGACAUGAUGGUAAUGAUCAGACUUUCUGAAUCCACCUGAGUGACUUCAGUUAUUGUCACAGAACUUGAUUCCUUUGAAUCCUGGAAGACCAGGCAUGCGCAGAUAAGUCACACACACAGGAGUUAGAGUGAUGCAUAAGGGUAGCCCUCUCUCCUGGGAGAUUGAUCACUGGCUGUCCUUCUGUGGGAUGUGUGCUUGGGGACUACCCACUAAGUCCCGCUCCAUCCUGGGAAAAGAGGUUUUCUCUGACAAGAGCCCUAAUCAGUGGAUAUAUUAUUUUGUGACUUGUAGAGGAAUCACCGAUUGUAAACAACAGGAAAAGGAUUUGAUGGCGGGGUUGGCGGGGGGUAGAAUUUGAGGGAUGGACCUGGCCGGUCUGCUGGAAGGCUAGCGUGGACCGAAGGCUGUGGUCCCACCUUAUGGCAGAAGUGGGCUGAGAGGAGCCUGCAGGCCAAGCCAGGGUAUUCUUCCAGAAGCAGGUCUGAAUCUGAUCAACCUCUUUUCUUUCUGGGGAGAGAGGACUUUGUCCUUGAUGUACCCUACAAACCAAAACAAAAAAAGCAAGUGUUAAGGAAGAUACUGGGCAAGCUGAUACCCUUUGGCUGGUCUCCAAAGGAAGAGAUUUAAAAACCCAAGUCCAAAGAAGAAAAAUGCCAGCAACACCUGGAAGUUAACACAGGAUAAACAAGUUGUUCCUUGGGUUAGUGUCCUAAGGUCCGUAUCGAACUUUCCCGAUGCUCUACUUCCAGAGUCAUCUCUUCAUCUUCCAUGCUCUAGAUGAAUUUGAAAACUUGAAGAACUUGAAGGCAGGUUCCACGUUCCUCCGGCCUCACUCUUGCCCUAGGGCCCUCCAUCCCGUUGCCUGGAGGCAAAGGAGCUGCUUGUCAGUCACUGAAGAUGGCAUGCCAGGGAGAUAUUUGAGUUCCCCCACUCCGGACCAAAUAAGCAUUCAGGUUUGCAGUGGCCUGAAACUCUUCGACUGGACAGCAGUCAGAGCGGGCCUUUGCUGAGUUUGUGAUUCGGCUCGUGGCAAUUCUUGGCCGGUUGAGUUUACAGGCCCAGGUUUGAGCUCUGGCAGGUGCAGGGCUGAGACCUUGCUGGCUUGCUGUUCGCUCUUGGGGCAGCCACCCCUGUCAGCAUUUCUGCACUUCCUCUUUUGCCAUUACUGUCCAAAACCAGCACCUGCCCCAUGCCACAAAUCUGAGGGAAGAGGAGGCGGGUUUGGGAAAGAGUUGCUACUUCUGCUGUUGAGAUUGGAGGCCCUAAUUCUGGAUGCGAGGCCCUGAGAAAUGAUGAGACAGCUUGAAACACUGACCCGACUAUUGAUGUGUAAAAACUGUGUAUAAUUCUCAAUGUAUAUUUAUAAAUUUCUAUUUUUUAUAACUUUGGGAGACUUCUUGGAGGGAAAACGUAGUAAACAGAGCCAGAUUAAGGACGUGAUUUAUGAGCUCUUAAUCAAAGGUCAUAAUAAAAGCUUUGCAAAUGAAACAGAAUGA
Leptonychotes weddellii (Weddell seal) is the source of this 6622-nucleotide non-coding RNA. Lineage: Eukaryota; Metazoa; Chordata; Mammalia; Carnivora; Phocidae. The record is from RefSeq and is a predicted model, not a curated record.